UCUGUGACACAUUCUGAUCCUGGGAAAAAGAGAGCUACAAAUGGCAGGAUGCACAGCUUCUCUGGGGAUGCCAUAAAGGAAAAACAAGCACAAGAGGUACCCAAACCGAACUCUGUUUUCCCCUGUAGGGGUUUUGGACUGUUUGCAGUGUGAACAGCUGACCAGAAUGACAUGGAAGGCCAUUACUUAGAGGGUCAUUUUCUUCCACAGUGUAAAUCAAGAGGCAAAGCAGCUCAAGGAACCCAAAAGCUGAAGCAGAAAAGCAGCCUCUUGCACUAUUCAGGAUCCCCAGCUGGUCCAAAAGAACUUUCAAGCCAGAUAAACAUUUCUGCAACACUUUUGUCUGAAUCUGAACUCUGCAUAAGGAAAUAUGGG
Molecule: long non-coding RNA, 375 nt
Organism: Gallus gallus (chicken)
Lineage: Eukaryota; Metazoa; Chordata; Aves; Galliformes; Phasianidae
Source: Ensembl